This is a transfer RNA of Gemmatimonas phototrophica, 72 nucleotides long. It matches the Rfam family "tRNA". From Rfam's summary of the family: Transfer RNA (tRNA) molecules are approximately 80 nucleotides in length. The record is from Rfam. Lineage: Bacteria; Pseudomonadati; Gemmatimonadota; Gemmatimonadia; Gemmatimonadales; Gemmatimonadaceae.
GCACCCUUAGCUCAAUGGUAGAGCAGCUGACUCUUAAUCAGUAGGUUCUAGGUUCGAGUCCUAGAGGGUGCA